RNAcentral lists this ribosomal RNA (468 nucleotides) under uncultured bacterium. Its description in RNAcentral is "partial 16S ribosomal RNA". It matches the Rfam family "Bacterial small subunit ribosomal RNA", at positions 28 to 507 of the family's 1533-position model. The record is from RNAcentral.
GACGAACGCUGGCGGCGUGCUUAACACAUGCAAGUCGAACGGAAAGGCCCUGCUUUUGUGGGGUGCUCGAGUGGCGAACGGGUGAGUAACACGUGAGUAACCUGCCCUUGACUUUGGGAUAACUUCAGGAAACUGGGGCUAAUACCGGAUAGGAGCUCCUGCUGCAUGGUGGGGGUUGGAAAGUUUCGGCGGUUGGGGAUGGACUCGCGGCUUAUCAGCUUGUUGGUGGGGUAGUGGCUUACCAAGGCUUUGACGGGUAGCCGGCCUGAGAGGGUGACCGGCCACAUUGGGACCGAGAUUCGGCCCAGACUCCUACGGGAGGCAGCAGUGGGGAAUAUUGCACAAUGGGCGGAAGCCUGAUGCAGCAACGCCGCGUGCGGGAUGACGGCCUUCGGGUUGUAAACCGCUUUCGCCUGUGACGAAGCGUGAGUGACGGUAAUGGGUAAAGAAGCACCGGCUAACUACGUG